AUGCUCACUUCAGCAGCCCAUAUACUAAAAUUGGAAUGAUACAGAGAUUACCAUGGCCCCUGCACAAGGAUGACACACAAAUCUGUGAAGCAUUCCAUAUUUUG
Small nuclear RNA from Phyllostomus hastatus (greater spear-nosed bat), 104 nucleotides. Lineage: Eukaryota; Metazoa; Chordata; Mammalia; Chiroptera; Phyllostomidae. The record is from RefSeq and is a predicted model, not a curated record.